Molecule: non-coding RNA, 70 nt
Organism: Cavia porcellus (domestic guinea pig)
Lineage: Eukaryota; Metazoa; Chordata; Mammalia; Rodentia; Caviidae
Source: Rfam
GGGGAUUUAGCUCAGUGGCAUAAGCACCUGCCUUGCAAGCAGAUGGUCAUGAGUUCGAUCCUCAGUACCG